CUUCGGGAACUGUGAGACAGGUGCUGCAUGGCUGUCGUCAGCUCGUGUUGUGAAAUGUUGGGUUAAGUCCCGCAACGAGCGCAACCCUUAUCCUUUGUUGCCAGCGGUCCGGCCGGGAACUCAAAGGAGACUGCCAGUGAUAAACUGGAGGAAGGUGGGGAUGACGUCAAGUCAUCAUGGCCCUUACGACCAGGGCUACACACGUGCUACAAUGGCGCAUACAAAGAGAAGCGACCUCGCGAGAGCAAGCGGACCUCAUAAAGUGCGUCGUAGUCCGGAUUGGAGUCUGCAACUCGACUCCAUGAAGUCGGAAUCGCUAGUAAUCGUGGAUCAGAAUGCCACGGUGAAUACGUUCCCGGGCCUUGUACACACCGCCCGUCACACCAUGGGAGUG
This 394-nucleotide ribosomal RNA is filed under the name Escherichia coli. Its description in RNAcentral is "bacterial SSU rRNA". It matches the Rfam family "Bacterial small subunit ribosomal RNA", at positions 1018 to 1412 of the family's 1533-position model. Lineage: Bacteria; Pseudomonadati; Pseudomonadota; Gammaproteobacteria; Enterobacterales; Enterobacteriaceae. The record is from RNAcentral.